GACGAACGCUGGCGGCGUGCCUAAUACAUGCAAGUAGAACGCUGAAGGAGGAGCUUGCUCUUCUGGAUGAGUUGCGAACGGGUGAGUAACGCGUAGGUAACCUGCCUGGUAGCGGGGGAUAACUAUUGGAAACGAUAGCUAGUACCGCAUAACAGUAGAUGUUGCAUGACAUUUGCUUAAAAGGUGCAAUUGCAUCACUACCAGAUGGACCUGGGUUGUAUUAGCUAGUUGGUGGGGUAACGGCUCACCAAGGCGACGAUACAUAGCCGACCUGAGAGGGUGAUCGGCCACACUGGGACUGAGGCACGGCCCAGACUCCGACGGGAGGUAGCAGUAGGGAAUCUUCGGCAAUGGACGGAAGUCUGACCGAGCAACGCCGCGUGAGUGAAGAAGGUUUUCGGAUCGUAAAGCUCUGUUGUAAGAGAAGAACGAGUGUGAGAGUGGAAAGUUCACACUGUGACGGUAUCUUACCAGAAAGGGACGGCUAACUACGUGCCAGCCGCCGCCGUAA
This 511-nucleotide ribosomal RNA is filed under the name uncultured bacterium. Its description in RNAcentral is "partial 16S ribosomal RNA". It matches the Rfam family "Bacterial small subunit ribosomal RNA", at positions 28 to 523 of the family's 1533-position model. The record is from RNAcentral.